RNAcentral lists this ribosomal RNA (740 nucleotides) under uncultured bacterium. RNAcentral describes it as "bacterial SSU rRNA". It matches the Rfam family "Bacterial small subunit ribosomal RNA", at positions 49 to 756 of the family's 1533-position model. The record is from RNAcentral.
CUAUACAUGCAGUCGAGCGAGCCGAACUAAUUGAUUUACCUUCGGGUAUGAAGUUAGGGAAGCGAGCGGCGGAUGGGUGAGUAACACGUGGGUAACCUACCCUAUAGUCUGGGAUACCACUUGGAAACAGGUGCUAAUACCGGAUAAAAGGAGAGAUCACAUGAUUUCUUUUUGAAAGGCGGCGUAAGCUGUCGCUAAAGGAUGGACCCGCGGUGCAUUAGCUAGUUGGUAAGGUAACGGCUUACCAAGGCAACGAUGCAUAGCCGAGUUGAGAGACUGAUCGGCCACAUUGGGACUGAGACACGGCCCAAACUCCUAUGGGAGACAGCAGUAGGGAAUCUUCCACAAUGGACGCAAGUCUGAUGGAGCAACGCCGCGUGAGUGAAGAAGGUUUUCGGAUCGUAAAGCUCUGUUGUUGGUGAAGAAAGAUAGUGAGAGUAACUGCUCAUUAUUUGCCGGUAAUCAACCAGAAAGUCACGGCUAACUACGUGCCAGCAGCCGCGGUAAUACGUAGGUGGCAAGCGUUGUCCGGAUUUAUUGGGCGUAAAGCGAGCGCAGGCGGAAAGAUAAGUCAGAUGUGAAAGCCCUCGGCUUAACCGAGGAAUAGCAUCGGAAACUGUCUUUCUUGAGUGCAGAAGAGGAGAGUGGAACUCCAUGUGUAGCGGUGGAAUGCGUAGAUAUAUGGAAGAACACCAGUGGCGAAGGCGGCUCUCUGGUCUGUAACUGACGCUGAGGCUCGA